This 428-nucleotide ribosomal RNA is filed under the name uncultured Bacteroidota bacterium. RNAcentral's name for it is "bacterial SSU rRNA". It matches the Rfam family "Bacterial small subunit ribosomal RNA", at positions 70 to 497 of the family's 1533-position model. The record is from RNAcentral. Lineage: Bacteria; Pseudomonadati; Bacteroidota.
ACGGGGAAGCUUGCUUCCGCCGACGACCGGCGCACGGGUGCGUAACGCGUAUACAAUCUACCUUAUACUGGGGUAUAGCCUUUAGAAAUGAAGAUUAACCCCCCAUAGUCUCUUAGAGUGGCAUCACUUCUAGAGUAAAGGUUACGGUAUAAGAUGAGUAUGCGUUCUAUUAGUUUGUUGGUGUGGUAACGGCACACCAAGACUACGAUAGAUAGGGGCCCUGAGAGGGGGAUCCCCCACACUGGUACUGAGACACGGACCAGACUCCUACGGGAGGCAGCAGUGAGGAAUAUUGGACAAUGGAGGAGACUCUGAUCCAGCCAUGCCGCGUGUAGGAAGAAUGCCCUAUGGGUUGUAAACUACUUUUAUACAGGAAGAAACACUGGUAUGUAUACCAGCUUGACGGUACUGUAAGAAUAAGGACCGGC